Molecule: long non-coding RNA, 2832 nt
Filed under: Neodiprion pinetum (white pine sawfly)
Lineage: Eukaryota; Metazoa; Arthropoda; Insecta; Hymenoptera; Diprionidae
Description: uncharacterized LOC124215869
Source: RNAcentral
UUCUUCAAUAAUUGUUCCCGCAUUGUUGCCUCGCCUAUCGUUAUCGGAGCGCCAGGAUUAUCUUCGACUGGCGUGGCUGGAGGCUCGAUUGCCGGCGGAGGUUGAGGCUGGUAAAAUAGAAGAAUAGAAACGUUAGUAGCGAGUAUAUAGAUCCUGACGAUACGGACGAAAGGGAAGACGAUGAGAUUAUAGGCCAUGCUGGAUCGAUGUUGUGCACUCGGACGUCCAGGGAGAACAGCUUCUUCGCUGGGAAAACCUCGUUCCAAGUCUGUCGUAGCUUCCACAUACUAGCCCGUGUACUUUCGUCCACCUAAUAGGGAUGCAGUAAAAAUAAGUUGAACAAGUCUCUGGUGAAAUGAAACUGUUGCAAAUCUAGACACAUGUUACACAUCAGUAUUUUACUCAACAUUCAGAUACAUUACAUACGUACAUGAAUUUGAUGCAAUUGUGAAAUUCAAUUUGAAUUGACUAAUUUGGAAAAAUUGUUUCUUUUAUCCAUUUCAUGUUAAGAAUUCAGUUAUUUGUUCCUUGAUUUCGAGUCUCUUUGAAUAGCAUACAUUGAAAUAUAAUACAAGUAUAAAGUCAUUUUCUUGUAAGGUAUCGACGCAUUUAAUGUGUUGAGCUAUCAGCUCGUUUGUAACAGUCUGAUUGUCUGGUUGAGAUAAGUAAAUAGCUUGAAAGUUGUUAGAAAGAAAUAAUUCUUCCGUGUACAUCUAAAUGAUAAUUAACAAUGUGUAAUUACAUUAGUAAUUUUUUGAAGCGAUUCAACAAAUGAAUUACCUUCUCGAAAACACCACAAAAUAGGUUGACAAUAUUUUGGGUGAAGAGGCUUGUGUAAUCUCCGUUAACGUUCUUGACGAUCGAAUCGAUGAGGUAUAGAACGGGAAGUUUGAUGUCGCUUCUGACCUGGUAAAACACAAUAACAGACUAUCCCACUUGUAUGGUACUCAAUCCACUCGGUUUCAAAUUUUGGCCACCACAUGCCAUCACCAGCCGACCACCAAACAUAUGGACCUUCUUUAAUGGAUCUUCUUUUGAUACGCAUCCCAAACCACUACUGUCAACUUAUAAUUAUUGCUGCAUACUAUACCUAGGAUUAAUUAGUUGCUAAUAACAACUUAUGCAACCAGAAAACGAUACCUUGGAGAUAAAUUUAACAUGCUGAGGCAGCGGUUAUCCAGUCAAACUACAUGUAAAAUGAAUACUUAGAGAAUCUGUCUGUAAAAUUUGAUUCAUGAAGAAAGUAGAUGAGUAGACUAUUGAAACCGAUGAGAAUCAUGUUGAAGAUGUAAGUGAUUUUUGAAAACUGCUAUAAGUAAAGAGCUAAAUCUUUGAAAUGUAUUGGAAAAAUCUUGUAACAUUUCUCUUGCCUUUAAUACAUGUUUGAAGAAAUCGAUCAAUUAAAUUAUAUAAUAUUCAAGGUCGAGAGAUAAGUGUAAAAACAUCAUUAGUUGGUAAAUAAGAUUUGAUCAAAUAGCACAUAUUGGAUCAUCUGUUGUCAAAUAAAGUAUUUGCAUAACAUCACUAGUAGUUUUGCGCACUUCGUUGAAAUGUUAAUAGGACCAGGCCAAAGAAAAUAAAAAUAAUGAGUAAGCAGUGGUAUUUGUGUUUUUUCUGUUUUAUACUUUUCAUUUUUAAUAUUGCAUUGUGUCGUUCAAUCAUCAUCAUCAAUUUUAUUCAAUCGAAGUAAUACAGUACAUAUAUUUUAAGAUAGUGGGGGAGAAAAAAAGAGAUAACUUUCGAGAACGAAGCAAAUUGAAAUUGAAUAUUAGAAUGCAGAACGACCAAUUGACAAAUUAUUUAUAAACGUUCAUCGUUAGGGUAAAAUUUUUAGAGGAAAAAACGAAUAAAAAGAAAACCCAGUGCUCAAAAUGAAUGAAAAAAUUGAGUUUCGGAGAUGGUAGCGUAAGAAUAUACACUGUCCUUGUUCUCUUCAUUUGCUAAACCUAAAUAUUGCUAUUUCUUCUAACAAAAAUAUUAAGGUCCAUUUGAAAGAAAAAAAAAAAAAGAAAAAAAAAGUGAAUGGGAUACAUUUAUUAUACUGCAGCUUGCAUACAAAAAUUCAAUCGAUUUUUAUACAUACUCUGAUAAAAUAUUGCAAAUGUGUUAUUUGAAGCUCUACAAUUAUUGUGUUGUAGACUUACAACUCGUUGUAUUUCUGUGUGUCCUCAUUUCUAUAAUAUGAAAUUUAUUGAUCAAGUUCUAUAAGAUACAUGUUGAGAAGUUGAGGGAAAAAGGAGACUCUUAUAAUACUCUAGUGAUUUUUCAUAUGAAAUCAAAAGAAGAAUGCAUAAAGUAAAACUUAAAAAAAAAAAAAAAAAAAAAAUCAAGUAAAAACCAAACGCACAAAAUAUAGAAAAUAGAAACUUAAAAAUCUGUUACCCCAGCGAACGAAUGCAUGUACACGCAUCGUUACAGUUCCAAGCAAAGGUCACCAGAAAUUAACCACACAAUUUUUUGUUGCUACUUGAAAAAUGUUGCUAUUAUUCUGCUUUUCUUUUUUCUUUAUCUUCUUUUUCUUUUUCAUCACAUGAUAUUAAUAAUAAUAUUAUAAUACUAAUAAUAAUAAUCGUAUCGUAAAUAUGGUUACAAAUUUAUUUGCUCUUUAUCAUAUAUCAGAAUAUAGUGUAUGUACAAAGGAACGGUCGUUUUACUAGCUUUGGGAAAUUUUUUUUUUUAAAUAAUCGAUCAAUACUUUGAGAUAUAUUUGUGUUUCGAAAUAUUUAUAUAUAUAUGUAUGUUUGUGUAUGGAUAAAAUGUAUUCGGUUGUACGUUGAAAAGUAAAUUUAAGUCGGUUAGGAAGGGGGGGUGGCAAGAUAAAAAAUAUAUAUA